This 70-nucleotide transfer RNA is filed under the name Hoplocercus spinosus. RNAcentral describes it as "tRNA-Ile". The record is from RNAcentral. Lineage: Eukaryota; Metazoa; Chordata; Lepidosauria; Squamata; Hoplocercidae.
GGAAGCGUGCCUGAACUAAAGGACUACUUUGAUAGAGUAAAACAUAGCGGUUUAAGCCCGCUCACUUCCU